UGGGGAAUUUUGGACAAUGGCGAAAGCCUGAUCCAGCAAUGCCGCGUGUGUGAAGAAGGCCUUCGGGUUGUAAAGCACUUUUGUCCGGAAAGAAAUCCUUGGCUCUAAUACAGUCGGGGGAUGACGGUACCGGAAGAAUAAGCACCGGCUAACUACGUGCCAGCAGCCGCGGUAAUACGUAGGGUGCAAGCGUUAAUCGGAAUUACUGGGCGUAAAGCGUGCGCAGGCGGUUUGCUAAGACCGAUGUGAAAAUCCCCGGGCUCAAACCUGGGAACUGCAUUUGGUGAACUGGCAGGCUAGAGUAUGGCAGAGGGGGGUAGAAUUCCACGUGUAGCAGUGAAAUGCGUAGAGAUGUGGAGGAAUACCGAUGGCGAAGGCAGCCCCCUGGGCCAAAUACUGACGCUCAUGCACGAAAAGCGUGGGGAGCAAAACAGGAUUAGAUACCCUGGUAGUCCACGCCCUAAAACGAUGUCAACUAGUUGUUGGGGAUUCAUUUCCUUAGUAACGUAGCUAACGCGUGAAGUUGACCGCCUGGGGAGUACGGUCGCAAAGAUUAAAAACUC
This 563-nucleotide ribosomal RNA is filed under the name uncultured bacterium. Its description in RNAcentral is "partial 16S ribosomal RNA". It matches the Rfam family "Bacterial small subunit ribosomal RNA", at positions 355 to 902 of the family's 1533-position model. The record is from RNAcentral.